RNAcentral lists this long non-coding RNA (1232 nucleotides) under Junco hyemalis (dark-eyed junco). RNAcentral describes it as "lncRNA (ENSJHYG00000000526.1)". Lineage: Eukaryota; Metazoa; Chordata; Aves; Passeriformes; Passerellidae. The record is from RNAcentral.
UUGUGAGGGCGCCCCCCGGCGGCUCGGAGGACCGAGGGUGGUGCGUUCUAAGAAAAGAUUUUUGGGGGGGUCCAGAAAGACUCAGGAGGGGUCAGUGCAGAGGCAGCAGCUUUAUUGUUGCAAAACAGGCAAAUAAAAACAAAUUUAUCGUUAAAAAUCUUGUUAAAAUUUUGUUAAAAUUAAGGCAGUUUCAACCCUCCCCUCUCCCUUCAGACGCCCCAAAAAUCCCCACGGGGUGGGAGCCCCGAAAUUGUCACCAGAGGUAAUGGGGGGACCCCCAAAAGUAACAAACGGGGGAGUCCAAAGGGCACAGGUGGACCCCAAAAGUGAUGGGAGGACCCCAAAAAUUCACUCCAGGCAAUGGGGGAACCCCAAAAGCACCAAAGGGACCCCAAAUUUUCACUCCAGGCAAUGGGGGAACCCCAAAGGGACCCCCAACCCUCACUCCCGGCAAUGGGGGGGAUCCCAAAAGCACCAAAGGGACCCCCAACCCUCACUCCCGGCAAUGGGGGGACCCCAAAAGCACCAAAGGGACCCCAACCCUCACUCCCAGCAAUGAGGGAACCCCAAGGAUGACAAAGGGACCCCAACCCUCACUCCCGGCAAUGGGGGGACCCCAAACUCCCCCCGGCCCCUCAGCAGAGGCUGACGGGCAGCCCGUAGGCCACGGGCGCGGCCCCGAUUAGCGAUUUGAGGCGGGGGGCCUGGCGGGCCUGGGCCAGCUGCCCCAAAAGGGGGGUCCCGGGGCCCCCCCCCAGCCACCCCCGCAGCAGCGCCUGCGCCAGCCGGUCCAGGUCCCGGUCCGUGACGUCCCACAGGUUCCCCAGCACCAGCGGGCUGCAAACGGGGGGACACCCCAAAACGGGGGUGUGAGAGCCCAGGUACAGAGAGAGACACCCCAAAUAGAGAGAGAGACCCCAAAUACAGAGACACCCCAAAAUGGGGCUGUGAGAGCCCAAAUAGAGAGAGAAAUACACCCCAAAUAUAGAGACCCCAAAAUGGGGGUGUGAGAUACCAGGUACAGAGAGAGACACCCCAAAUAUAGAGAGAGACCCCAAAUACAGACACACCCCAAAUACAGAGAGAGAUGCACCCCAAAUAGAGAGAGACCCCAAAAUGGGGCUGUGAGAGCCCAAAUAGAGAGAGAGAGACCCCAAAUACUGAGAGAGACCCCAAAAUGGGGAUGUGAGCACAGGGAGAAUGCCCAAAAAUAAAGAGACACCCCAAAGUCA